UUCCUGAAUACACCAAGUUCUGCUAUAAAGAUUAUAUGGUAUUUUAUAUGGUAUUUUUUUAAUCAAGACCAACUAAUUUAUGUAAUGAAGAGAUAUAUGCCCACCUAGCCAGGUAUAUCUAAACUAAUUCAUAUGUAGUAUAGUAAACAUAGAAAUCUUUAGCCAAAAUUACAGUUAAUGAGCUUAAGUGUUGACUUAGUCUCAUUAAUUUCAUGAGUAAGGAGCUUAAGUUCCAUACACAUCAGAGUAUACAAGUGAAAAAGUGUUUACUUGGACAAUUUUUACUGUUUAAACUGUUUGGAAUCUAGUGGAUUAGGAACUUGCCUUGCUGGUUUCAGUUACAACGGACUAUUCAUUGCAUCAGAAAUUUUACUUGUUGUUAACCUUUAAAGAAAUUCAGACCUAGGAAAAUUUUCAAAAACCUUCAAGAAGGCAGAAAUAGAAGAAUGAGAAGGAUUGCCUUCAGUGGUGUUUUUAUCUUACUCUGCCUCUUGAGUGAUGUUGAAGGUAUGAUUUGUAGAUUAUGCAACCUCUCAAUGCCCUUCCAUGGAUGUCUUUUGGAUUUUGGAACCUGCAGAACAAAACCUGGUCAGUAUUGUAUGAAACAGACUUAUGCAAGAGGUAAGUCUUGACACUUAAAAAAAAUUAUUGAAAAUGAGAAUAGGAAAAAUCCCUACAUAAAAGCAAACAUUCACUGAACAUUUACUACACGCCAAAUGCUGUACUAAGGGCUUUACC
Molecule: long non-coding RNA, 738 nt
Filed under: Ailuropoda melanoleuca (giant panda)
Lineage: Eukaryota; Metazoa; Chordata; Mammalia; Carnivora; Ursidae
Description: lncRNA (ENSAMEG00000031214.1)
Source: RNAcentral